AUGGUCACAGUUGAUUACAUCACAAUGGGUUUGCAGCAUAUAAAGCCCAGACCAUCUUUAGGCCUAGGCUCAUUUCUCCUAAGGGUAUGUAGUGGCAGGAAGGAUUUCUGUUAUGGAGCAGCUAGUCAACCUGCCCACAGUUUUAGAAGAAAGCCGAAGAGUGUGAUCUACGGAGCAUGCUGCGCUUGCCAGGGGUGUGGACGCAGAGUUCAAGCACAAAGGGCAGGCAUUGAUUUCAUACUUCUGAUAGAUUCUUUGUGGACUAGGCAAAAGUUGAAGAAAGUGAUCAGCAACAGCAGGGGAAAUUUUCAAAAAGGAAUUAAAGUAUCAUUGAAGUUACUUCCAGAUUUCUUUGCUUUUCUGCUGGAAGACUAGAUUUGAAGAGCUUGAGUUAAAAAGUGAAUUUGUAAGUUCUAUUGGUGAAAGAAAUUAGAUUUUUUAUUAGAACUUUAGCAUCUGGGGGGAUCCCUGGGUGGCGCAGCGGUUUAGCGCCUGCCUUUGGCCCAGGGCGCGAUCCUGGAGACCCAGGAUCGAAUCCCACGUCGGG
Molecule: long non-coding RNA, 547 nt
Filed under: Vulpes vulpes (red fox)
Lineage: Eukaryota; Metazoa; Chordata; Mammalia; Carnivora; Canidae
Description: lncRNA (ENSVVUG00000010424.1)
Source: RNAcentral